CUACGGGAGGCAGCAGUCAAGAACCUUCCACAAUGGACGCAAGUCUGAUGGAGCGACGCCGCGUGCGGGAAGAAGAUCUUAGGAUCGUAAACCGCUUUUCUAGGGGAUGAAGUUUUCUGACAGUACCCUAGGAAUAAGGGGGGACUAAUCACGUGCCAGCAGUAGCGGUAAUACGUGACCCUCAAUCGUUGUCCGGAUUUACUGGGCGUAAAGAGUCUUAAGGCUGUUUAGAAAGUCUCUGGUUAAAACUUUGGGCUUAACCUAAAGACUGUCAGAGAUACUGCUAAACUAGAGGGCGUUAGAGGCUAGCGGAACGUACGGUGUAGGGGUGGUAUCCGUUGAUAUCGUGCGGAACACCAAAAGCGAAGGCAGCUAGCUGGGGCGACCCUGACGCUGAUUGACGAAAGCUAGGGGAGUGAAGAGGAUUAGAUACCCGUGUAGUC
RNAcentral lists this ribosomal RNA (443 nucleotides) under uncultured bacterium. Its description in RNAcentral is "partial 16S ribosomal RNA". It matches the Rfam family "Bacterial small subunit ribosomal RNA", at positions 339 to 795 of the family's 1533-position model. The record is from RNAcentral.